AGCAAUAACAAUAGAUGGCGCACGGGUGCGUAACACGUAACUAACCUACCUAUACCUGGGGGAUAGCCCGCCGAAAGGCGGAUUAAUACCGCAUAAGGCUUUUACCUGGCAUCGGGUGAUAGUUAAAGAUUUAUUGGGUAUAGAUGGGGUUGCGGGUCAUUAGCUAGUUGGUAAGGUAACGGCUUACCAAGGCGACGAUGACUAGGGGAGCUGAGAGGCUGGUCCCCCACACGGGCACUGA
This 241-nucleotide ribosomal RNA is filed under the name uncultured Hymenobacter sp. Its description in RNAcentral is "partial 16S ribosomal RNA". It matches the Rfam family "Bacterial small subunit ribosomal RNA", at positions 81 to 322 of the family's 1533-position model. The record is from RNAcentral. Lineage: Bacteria; Pseudomonadati; Bacteroidota; Cytophagia; Cytophagales; Hymenobacteraceae.